Small nuclear RNA from Cervus hanglu yarkandensis (Yarkand deer), 107 nucleotides. Lineage: Eukaryota; Metazoa; Chordata; Mammalia; Artiodactyla; Cervidae. The record is from Ensembl.
GCACUCACUUCAGCAGCACACAUACUGAAAUCGGAACAAUGCAGAGAAAAUUAGCAUGGCCCCUGUACAAGAAUGACACGCAAAUUCCUGAAGUGUUUCGUAUUUUU